RNAcentral lists this ribosomal RNA (953 nucleotides) under Cardiocephaloides physalis. RNAcentral's name for it is "partial large subunit ribosomal RNA". It matches the Rfam family "Eukaryotic large subunit ribosomal RNA", at positions 36 to 657 of the family's 3401-position model. Lineage: Eukaryota; Metazoa; Platyhelminthes; Trematoda; Diplostomida; Strigeidae. The record is from RNAcentral.
UAGCAUAUCACUAAGCGGAGGAAAAGAAACUAACCAGGAUUCCCUCAGUAACUGCGAGUGAAGAGGGAUCAGCCCAGCACCGAAGCCUGUGGCCGUUUGGCUGCUAGGCAAUGUGGUGUUCAGGUCGUCUCUUGGCAUUACUGCUCCAUCCUAAGUCCAGUACUGAGUAUGGCAUCUGGAGUGGCCCAUGGAGGGUGAAAGGCCCGUGGGGGUGGAGAUCAAGUUGGCCAGUUCUGCCCUGAGUAGACCUUGGAGUCGGGUUGUUUGUGAAUGCAGCCCAAAGUGGGUGGUAAACUCCAUCCAAGGCUAAAUACUAGCACGAGUCCGAUAGCGAACAAGUACCGUGAGGGAAAGUUGAAAAGUACUCUGAAGAGAGAGUAAACAGUGCGUGAAACCGCUCAGAGGUAAACGGGUGGAGUUGAACUGUAAGCUCCGGGGAUUCAGCUGGUGAGUGUGUCGUGGGCUUGGUCAUUUUCGGCCGGCCUCUAGAGUCCGCUUAGCUGCGGGUCCUUGCUCCUUCGGGGGUAGGGAUGUGCGUUGCGCUUGUCAAGUGCUGUGCGCUCUGGGGGUUGCCGGGCUGGCUUGCCAGUGCACUUUCUCGGAGUGGUCACCACGACCGGCGUUGUUGCCUUGCGGCUGUAGUCGAACCGGUCAGGUUUAGUCCUUGUGGCUGAGCUUGAUCGGGAUGGCAGGUAGCUCAUUGGCUGACUUGUUCAGUCUUUGGGUGUAAUCAGCCGGCUGCAGUGGUUCUGUGCAAUGCGUCGGAGACGGCGGCUUUAGGUAUGUGCUUGUGUGCCGUGGGCUGGCAGUGUCGGGUUUGACUGGCGUGUUUACCUGUUUCGGCAGGUCCGUUGGUAGCUCGGUGCUGUUCGGUUUGCGGUUGCACUUGUGAUACCGCUCAUGGGCCUAUAGUCUGUGGUGUAGCAGCAAACGAUCCACCUGACCCGUCUUGA